AGUGAUGAAGGCCUUCGGGUUGUAAAGCUCUUUCGCACGCGACGAUGAUGACGGUAGCGUGAGAAGAAGCCCCGGCUAACUUCGUGC
This 87-nucleotide ribosomal RNA is filed under the name uncultured bacterium. RNAcentral's name for it is "partial 16S ribosomal RNA". It matches the Rfam family "Bacterial small subunit ribosomal RNA", at positions 404 to 508 of the family's 1533-position model. The record is from RNAcentral.